CAGUAGCCGCGGGAAUACGGAGGGUGCAAGCGUUAACCGGAAUUACUGGGCGUAAAGCGUGCGUAGGCGGUUCGUUAAGUCUGUUGUGAAAGCCCCGGGCUCAACCUGGGAAUGGCAAUGGAUACUGGCGAGCUAGAGUGUGUCAGAGGAUGGUGGAAUUCCCGGUGUAGCGGUGAAAUGCGUAGAGAUCGGGAGGAACAUCAGUGGCGAAGGCGGCCAUCUGGGACAACACUGACGCUGAGGCACGAAAGCGUGGGGAGCAAACAGGAUUAGAUACCCCUGUAGUCCCUGUCUCUUAUAC
This 301-nucleotide ribosomal RNA is filed under the name uncultured bacterium. Its description in RNAcentral is "partial 16S ribosomal RNA". It matches the Rfam family "Bacterial small subunit ribosomal RNA", at positions 509 to 807 of the family's 1533-position model. The record is from RNAcentral.